This 467-nucleotide ribosomal RNA is filed under the name uncultured bacterium. Its description in RNAcentral is "partial 16S ribosomal RNA". It matches the Rfam family "Bacterial small subunit ribosomal RNA", at positions 28 to 506 of the family's 1533-position model. The record is from RNAcentral.
GACGAACGCUGGCGGCGUGCUUAACACAUGCAAGUCGAACGGUGAUGCUCCAGCUUGCUGGAGUGGAUCAGUGGCGAACGGGUGAGUAACACGUGAGCAACCUGCCCCAGACUCUGGAAUAAGCGCUGGAAACGGCGUCUAAUACUGGAUACGAAACUGGCCCGCAUGGGCAUGGUUUGGAAAGUUUUUCGGUUUGGGAUGGGCUCGCGGCCUAUCAGCUUGUUGGUGAGGUAAUGGCUCACCAAGGCGACGACGGGUAGCCGGCCUGAGAGGGCGACCGGCCACACUGGGACUGAGACACGGCCCAGACUCCUACGGGAGGCAGCAGUGGGGAAUAUUGCACAAUGGGCGAAAGCCUGAUGCAGCGACGCCGCGUGAGGGAUGACGGCCUUCGGGUUGUAAACCUCUUUCAGCAGGGAAGAAGCGAAAGUGACGGUACCUGCAGAAGAAGCACCGGCUAACUACGU